AAUCAACGCUGGCGGCGUGCCUCAGACAUGCAAGUCGAACGAUUAAACUUCCCUUCGGGGAAGAUAUAAAGUGGCGCACGGGUGAGUAACACGUAGGUAAUGUACCUUUGGGUGGGGAAUAACUUAGGGAAACUUAAGCUAAUACCGCAUAAUGCAGCGGCUCCUUCGGGAGACAGUUGUUAAAGAUUUAUCGCCUAAAGAGCAGCCUGCGGCAGAUUAGCUAGUUGGUAAGGUAACGGCUUACCAAGGCUACGAUCUGUAUCCGACCUGAGAGGGUGGUCGGACACACUGACACUGAAUAACGGGUCAGACUCCUACGGGAGGCAGCAGUCGGGAAUUUUGGGCAAUGGGCGAAAGCCUGACCCAGCAACGCCGCGUGAAGGAUGAAGUCUUUCGGGAUGUAAACUUCGUAAGAAUAGGAAGAAUAAAUGACGGUACUAUUUGUAAGGUCCGGCUAACUACGUG
This 465-nucleotide ribosomal RNA is filed under the name uncultured bacterium. RNAcentral describes it as "partial 16S ribosomal RNA". It matches the Rfam family "Bacterial small subunit ribosomal RNA", at positions 32 to 507 of the family's 1533-position model. The record is from RNAcentral.